GUGCCAGCAGCUGCGGUAAUACGUAGGUGGCAAGCGUUGUCCGGAAUCAUUGGGCGUAAAGGGCGCGCAGGCGGUUCGGUAAGUCGGUCUUAAAAGUGCGGGGCUUAACCCCGUGAUGGGAUUGAAACUGCCGGACUGGAGUGUCGGAGAGGAAAGCAGAAUUCCUAGUGUAGCGGUGAAAUGCGUAGAUAUUAGGAGGAAUACCAGUGGCGAAAGCGGCUUUCUGGACGACAACUGACGCUGAGGCGCGAAAGCCAGGGGAGACAAACGGGAUUAGAUACCCCGGUAGUCCUGGCCGUAAACGAUGGAUACUAGGUGUAGGAGGUAUCGACCCCUUCUGUGCCGAGUUAACGCAAU
RNAcentral lists this ribosomal RNA (357 nucleotides) under uncultured Megasphaera sp. RNAcentral's name for it is "bacterial SSU rRNA". It matches the Rfam family "Bacterial small subunit ribosomal RNA", at positions 505 to 861 of the family's 1533-position model. The record is from RNAcentral. Lineage: Bacteria; Bacillati; Bacillota; Negativicutes; Veillonellales; Veillonellaceae.